This 559-nucleotide ribosomal RNA is filed under the name Nematopalaemon tenuipes. Its description in RNAcentral is "partial 16S ribosomal RNA". It matches the Rfam family "Bacterial large subunit ribosomal RNA", at positions 1795 to 2620 of the family's 2925-position model. Lineage: Eukaryota; Metazoa; Arthropoda; Malacostraca; Decapoda; Palaemonidae. The record is from RNAcentral.
UUCGCCUGUUUAUCAAAAACAUGUCCGUGUGAAUUUAUUACAAGGUCUAGCCUGCCACUGACUGGUGGUUAAAGGGCUGCGGUAAUUUGACCGUGCGAAGGUAGCAUAAUCAAUAGUCUCUUAAUUGGAGGCUUGAAUGAACGGCUGGAUGAGGGAUUAACUGUCUUCCGUUGUACAUGUUGAAUUUAACUUUUAAGUGAGAAGGCUUAAAUAUAAUAGUGGGACGAUAAGACCCUAUAAAACUUUAUAUAAGUGGAUUGAGCCUGUGAUUUAUCUGGUAAAGUGGGCUGGGUUUUUUUAUAUUUUGUUGGGGCGACAUUGAUAAAAUUUGUUGGUAACUGUUCUGUGAAUUUUAUAAUGGUGGUUAGGUAAAGAUCCUUUUAUAGGGAUUAAGAGUUUAAGUUACUUUAGGGAUAACAGCGUAAUUUUUCUUGAGAGUUCUUAUCGACAGAAGUAGUUGCGACCUCGAUGUUGAAUUAAAGUUUCGGUUAGGUGUAGCAGCUUAACUUGUGGGUCUGUUCGACCUUUAAAGCUUUACAUGAUCUGAGUUCAAACCGGA